AUCAAGAUGAUGAAAAUGGGAAAAUCUUAGGACACCUUCUGACACUGUUCCACCUACGGUGUGUGAGAAAGAUUUUCAUUUCUGAUACUUGAU
Mangifera indica (mango) is the source of this 93-nucleotide small nucleolar RNA. RefSeq annotates it as small nucleolar RNA snoR31/Z110/Z27. Lineage: Eukaryota; Viridiplantae; Streptophyta; Magnoliopsida; Sapindales; Anacardiaceae. The transcript has a single exon. The record is from RefSeq and is a predicted model, not a curated record.